This 296-nucleotide unclassified non-coding RNA is filed under the name uncultured fungus. RNAcentral describes it as "partial contains small subunit ribosomal RNA, internal transcribed spacer 1, and 5.8S ribosomal RNA". The stretch from base 1 to 73 matches the Rfam family "Eukaryotic small subunit ribosomal RNA", at positions 1759 to 1831 of the family's 1831-position model. The record is from RNAcentral. Lineage: Eukaryota; Fungi.
ACAAACUUGGUCAUUUAGAGGAAGUAAAAGUCGUAACAAGGUCUCCGUUGGUGAACCAGCGGAGGGAUCAUUACGAACAGAGUGUAACUACUCUAUAAACUCAUUGAAAAUUCUAUUUUUCUAUGUUUCGGCAGACGAUUCCCCGGUGGGAUCAGUUGCUUCACAAGCAUCUGUCGACAGUUAUCAAACGUUUGUUUUAGUGGUUUUGUGAAUCAUACAAAUCCCCAAAAAAAAACAAACUUUAAAAAACUUUCAACAACGGAUCUCUUGGUUCUGGCAUCGAUGAAGAACGCAGC